AGGGAAUAUUGGACAAUGGACGAAAGUCUGAUCCAGCCAUGCCGCGUGCAGGAUGACGGCCCUAUGGGUUGUAAACUGCUUUUAUAUAGGAAGAAACCUUUCCACGUGUGGAAAGCUGACGGUACUAUACGAAUAAGGACCGGCUAACUCCGUGCCAGCAGCCGCGGUAAUACGGAGGGUCCAAGCGUUGUCCGGAUUUAUUGGGUUUAAAGGGUACGCAGGCGGGACUUUAAGUCAGUGGUGAAAGCCUCCAGCUUAACUGGAGAAUUGCCAUUGAAACUGAAGUUCUUGAGUAUGGAUGAGGUGGUUGGAAUAUAACAUGUAGCGGUGAAAUGCAUAGAUAUGUUAUA
Molecule: ribosomal RNA, 350 nt
Filed under: uncultured bacterium
Lineage: Bacteria
Description: bacterial SSU rRNA
Rfam family: Bacterial small subunit ribosomal RNA
Source: RNAcentral